CGGGAUGUAGCGCAGCUUGGUAGCGCGUCUGGUUCGGGACCAGAAGGCCGCAGGUUCAAAUCCUGUCAUCCCGACCA
This 77-nucleotide transfer RNA is filed under the name Syntrophomonas wolfei subsp. saponavida. Its description in RNAcentral is "tRNA-Pro". It matches the Rfam family "tRNA". Rfam says of the family: Transfer RNA (tRNA) molecules are approximately 80 nucleotides in length. Their secondary structure includes four short double-helical elements and three loops (D, anti-codon, and T loops). The record is from RNAcentral. RNAcentral also lists the same sequence under 4 other names. Lineage: Bacteria; Bacillati; Bacillota; Clostridia; Eubacteriales; Syntrophomonadaceae.